GGCGGGGUAGCUCAGCGGCAGAGCAACGGACUCAUAAGCCGUCGGUCGUGGGUUCGAAUCCCACCCCCGCCACCA
This 75-nucleotide transfer RNA is filed under the name Chloroflexota bacterium. RNAcentral describes it as "tRNA-Met". It matches the Rfam family "tRNA". From Rfam's summary of the family: Transfer RNA (tRNA) molecules are approximately 80 nucleotides in length. Their secondary structure includes four short double-helical elements and three loops (D, anti-codon, and T loops). Further hydrogen bonds mediate the characteristic L-shaped molecular structure. tRNAs have two regions of fundamental functional importance: the anti-codon, which is responsible for specific mRNA codon recognition, and the 3' end, to which the tRNAs corresponding amino acid is attached (by aminoacyl-tRNA synthetases). tRNAs cope with the degeneracy of the genetic code in two manners: having more than one tRNA (with a specific anti-codon) for a particular amino acid; and 'wobble' base-pairing, i.e. permitting non-standard base-pairing at the 3rd anti-codon position. The record is from RNAcentral. Lineage: Bacteria; Bacillati; Chloroflexota.